AUUCCCUAUCAGAGCCGUGGAAGACGACCACGUUGAUAGGACGGGUGUGGAAGUGCAGCAAUGCAUGAAGCUUACCGUUACUAAUAGCUCGAUCGGCUUAAUUGUUCUCAUU
This 112-nucleotide ribosomal RNA is filed under the name Gillisella terrae. Its description in RNAcentral is "Rhizobium sp. CC-HIH110 partial 23S ribosomal RNA". It matches the Rfam family "Bacterial large subunit ribosomal RNA", at positions 2821 to 2925 of the family's 2925-position model. Lineage: Bacteria; Pseudomonadati; Pseudomonadota; Alphaproteobacteria; Hyphomicrobiales; Rhizobiaceae. The record is from RNAcentral.